RNAcentral lists this ribosomal RNA (494 nucleotides) under uncultured bacterium. RNAcentral's name for it is "partial 16S ribosomal RNA". It matches the Rfam family "Bacterial small subunit ribosomal RNA", at positions 28 to 507 of the family's 1533-position model. The record is from RNAcentral.
GACGAACGCUGGCGGCGUGCUUAACACAUGCCAGUCGAACGGUGAAGCGCCUUCCUUUUUGGUGGGUGUGGAUGAGUGGCGAACGGGUGAGUAACACGUGAGUAACCUGCCCCCUUCUUCUGGAUAACCGCAUGAAAGUGUGGCUAAUACGGGAUAUUCUGGGUCUGUCGCAUGAUGGGUCUGGGAAAGAUAUUGUUUCGGUGGGGGAUGGGCUCGCGGCCUAUCAGCUUGUUGGUGGGGUGAUGGCCUACCAAGGCGGUGACGGGUAGCCGGCCUGAGAGGGUGGACGGGCACACUGGGACUGAGACACGGCCCAGACUGCUACGGGAGGCAGCAGUGGGGAAUAGUGCACAAUGGGCGCAAGCCUGAUGCAGGGACGCCGCGUGAGGGAUGGAGGCCUGCGGGUUGUGAACCUCUUUCGCCAGUGAAGCAGGCCUGCCUCGUUUGUGGGUGGGUUGACGGUAGCUGGAGAAGAAGCGCCGGCUAACUACGUG